This 465-nucleotide ribosomal RNA is filed under the name uncultured bacterium. RNAcentral describes it as "partial 16S ribosomal RNA". It matches the Rfam family "Bacterial small subunit ribosomal RNA", at positions 338 to 795 of the family's 1533-position model. The record is from RNAcentral.
CCUACGGGUGGCAGCAGUGGGGAAUAUUGCGCAAUGGGCGAAAGCCUGACGCAGCGACGCCGCGUGAGGGAUGAAGGUCUUCGGAUCGUAAACCUCUGUCAGCAGGGAAGAACGGUCACUGUGCUAAUCAGCAGUGCAUUGACGGUACCUGCACAGGAAGCACCGGCUAACUCCGUGCCAGCAGCCGCGGUAAGACGGAGGGUGCGAGCGUUAAUCGGAUUUACUGGGCGUAAAGCGCUCGUAGGCGGGAUGUCAAGUCAAGGGUGAAAUCCCCGCGCUCAACGUGGGAACUGCCUUUGGAACUGGGAAACUGGAGUGUGUGAGAGGAUAGUGGAAUUCCAGGUGUAGGAGUGAAAUCCGUAGAUAUCUGGAGGAACAUCAGUGGCGAAGGCGACUAUCUGGCACAUAACUGACGCUGAGGAGCGAAAGCGUGGGUAGCAAACAGGAUUAGAUACCCGAGUAGUC